UGCGGCCUUGUCAAAUUCAGCACGAGCUGGUCAGUGUUCGUUGCUGGCCAAAAUGGCUGCUACAGGAACCAUUACAGCAGCUCAUGGGCCACACGUUCAUACCCGUGGACACUGAGGAUAAAUGUGCUGCUGACAAAC
Non-coding RNA from Pelobates cultripes (western spadefoot toad), 138 nucleotides. NCBI's taxonomy places the organism in Eukaryota, Metazoa, Chordata, Amphibia, Anura, Pelobatidae. The record is from the annotation of a GenBank genome assembly.